RNAcentral lists this ribosomal RNA (497 nucleotides) under uncultured bacterium. RNAcentral's name for it is "partial 16S ribosomal RNA". It matches the Rfam family "Bacterial small subunit ribosomal RNA", at positions 29 to 507 of the family's 1533-position model. The record is from RNAcentral.
AGUGAACGCUGGCGGCAGGCCUAAUACAUGCAAGUCGAACGACAAGACAGGAAGAUUGCUCCUCUACCGGUGGCGGGUGGCGGACGGGUGACGAAUAGAUCGGAAACUUCUAAGUCUUGGAUGAUAACGGAGGGAAACAUACACUAAUAGCUCAUAUGAUGAACCGCUGAAAUCAAUAGUGAAUCGCAGCUUGCCCGACAGUAAUAGCUGAUUUCGGGUCGCAUUAGCUAGUUGGUAAGGUAACGGCAAACCAAGGCAACGAUGCGUAGCCGAGCUGAGAGGGUGAUCGGCCACACUGGAACUGAGACACGGUCCAGACUCCUACGGGAGGCAGCAGUAGGGAAUCUUCCGCAAUGGGCGCAAGCCUGACGGAGCAAUACCGCGUGAGUGAUGAAGGUCUUCGGAUUGUAAAACUCUUUUAUUAGGGAAGAACAAAUGUGGAAGUAUCUAUGGACGUCUUGACGGUACCCAAACAGUAAGCACCGGCUAACUACGUG